RNAcentral lists this ribosomal RNA (492 nucleotides) under uncultured bacterium. RNAcentral describes it as "partial 16S ribosomal RNA". It matches the Rfam family "Bacterial small subunit ribosomal RNA", at positions 29 to 507 of the family's 1533-position model. The record is from RNAcentral.
AGUGAACGCUGGCGGUAGGCCUAACACAUGCAAGUCGAACGGCAGCACAGUAAGAGCUUGCUCUUACGGGUGGCGAGUGGCGGACGGGUGAGGAAUACAUCGGAAUCUACUUUUUAGUGGGGGAUAACGUAGGGAAUCUUACGCUAAUACCGCAUACGAUCUACGGGUGAAAGAAGGGGAUCUUCGGACCUUGCGCGAUUGAAUGAGCCGAUGUCGGAUUAGCUAGUUGGCGGGGUAAAGUCGCACCAAGGCGACGUUCCUUAGCUGGCAUGAGAGGAUGAUCAGCCACACUGAGACUGAGACACGGUCCAGACUCCUACGGGAAGCAGCAGUAGGGAAUAUUGGGCAAUGGGCGCAAGCCUGAUCCAGCCAUACCGCGUGAGUGAAGAAGGCCUUCGGGUUGUAAAGCCCUUUUGUUGGGAAAGAAAAGCAGCAGUUUAAUACCCCGCUGUUCUGACGGUACCCAAAGAAUAAGCACCGGCUAACUUCGUG